AACGCCGAGAAACAAUCUCUUACUUAGGCUUCGUUUGGGAUUGCGGAGAGAUUGUGUUACGUACGGUGAGAAAGUGCGUUGGAAAAAUACCCUGUUUGUUUCCGUACGUAAUAUUGCGUUCCGCAUAUCGCGAAGAGUCGGUUACGAUAUAUUUACUGCAGUCCCACCGGAGAACGCAGAAGCAUAUUCCUAUAUGCUUUUUCCCCAACUCUAUUUAUCUAACAGCGUUUCACAGGCCUCAAUACCAAACUAAAUCUUAGUAUAUUUAGGAAAUGAUAGCAACUCAUAAUUACUGAUAAAUAAUAUCUUGGUCCUAAAUUAGCCUCCCAACAUUUGACACUGUUCAUAAAUAUAUGGAAGCAAAAAUUGCUCAAAUCAAUUAUAAAGAGCUACGCUAGAAUACUAUUAAUAACACUAAGUCAUUGGUGCUAUUAAGUUUUCGAUCCUUUGAUGAAUCGAUGUACGAUUAGGAUGAUAAUGAUCUCCUAAAGUUAAGUGAAUGAUUAGUUAAAUAGUAUGAUUUAGCAGGUAAAAAUGAUCAAAAAGAUUAAUCUAACGGUAAAAAAUUUGAUAAUAUCAAAUGCUUGAUGAUAUCGAUAGCAUUGUAGCUAGACUCCAAUUGUAAAUAAGAUUUACAAUUUCUAUAUUAAGAAACUCCGAAUC
This 663-nucleotide long non-coding RNA is filed under the name Ananas comosus (pineapple). Its description in RNAcentral is "long non-coding RNA (ACOM_LNC012817)". Lineage: Eukaryota; Viridiplantae; Streptophyta; Magnoliopsida; Poales; Bromeliaceae. The record is from RNAcentral.